Molecule: small nuclear RNA, 23 nt
Filed under: Arabidopsis thaliana (thale cress)
Lineage: Eukaryota; Viridiplantae; Streptophyta; Magnoliopsida; Brassicales; Brassicaceae
Description: snRNA_18476
Source: RNAcentral
CGAACAGUCUCCACAAAGGAUUU